GUACACUCCUGCGGGAGGCAGCAGUGGGGAAUAUUGGACAAUGGGCGCAAGCCUGAUCCAGCCAUGCCGCGUGAGUGAUGAAGGCCCUAGGGUUGUAAAGCUCUUUCACCGGUGAAGAUAAUGACGGUAACCGGAGAAGAAGCCCCGGCUAACUUCGUGCCAGCAGCCGCGGUAAUACGAAGGGGGCUAGCGUUGUUCGGAUUUACUGGGCGUAAAGCGCACGUAGGCGGACUAUCAAGUCAGGGGUGAAAUCCCGGGGCUCAACCCCGGAACUGCCUUUGAUACUGGUAGUCUUGAGUUCGAGAGAGGUGAGUGGAAUUCCGAGUGUAGAGGUGAAAUUCGUAGAUAUUCGGAGGAACACCAGUGGCGAAGGCGGCUCACUGGCUCGAUACUGACGCUGAGGUGCGAAAGCGUGGGGAGCAAACAGGAUUAGAUACCCUUGUAGUCCGAUG
Molecule: ribosomal RNA, 452 nt
Filed under: uncultured organism
Description: partial 16S ribosomal RNA
Rfam family: Bacterial small subunit ribosomal RNA
Source: RNAcentral